This 543-nucleotide ribosomal RNA is filed under the name uncultured Chromobacterium sp. Its description in RNAcentral is "bacterial SSU rRNA". It matches the Rfam family "Bacterial small subunit ribosomal RNA", at positions 341 to 877 of the family's 1533-position model. The record is from RNAcentral. Lineage: Bacteria; Pseudomonadati; Pseudomonadota; Betaproteobacteria; Neisseriales; Chromobacteriaceae.
ACGGGAGGCAGCAGUGGGGAAUUUUGGACAAUGGGCGCAAGCCUGAUCCAGCCAUGCCGCGUGUCUGAAGAAGGCCUUCGGGUUGUAAAGGAUUUUUGUCCGGGAGCAAAUACCAGUAGUUAAUACGUAGUGGGGAUGAGAGUACCGGAAGAAUAAGCACCGGCUAACUUCGUGCCAGCAGCCGCGGUAAUACGUAGGGUGCAAGCGUUAUUCGGAAUUACUGGGCGUAAAGCGUGCGCAGGCGGUUGUGCAAGUCUGAUGUGAAACCCCCGGGCUUAACCUGGGAACGGCAUUGGAGACUGCACGACUAGAGUGCGUCAGAGGGGGGUAGAAUUCCGCGUGUAGCAGUGAAAUGCGUAGAGAUGCGGAGGAAUACCGAUGGCGAAGGCAGCCCCCUGGGAUGACACUGACGCUCAUGCACGAAAGCGUGGGGAGCAAACAGGAUUAGAUACCCUGGUAGUCCACGCCCUAAACGAUGUCAACUAGCUGUUGGGGGUUUGAAUCCUUGGUAGCGUAGCUAACGCGUGAAGUUGACCGCCUGGG